This 566-nucleotide ribosomal RNA is filed under the name uncultured bacterium. RNAcentral's name for it is "bacterial SSU rRNA". It matches the Rfam family "Bacterial small subunit ribosomal RNA", at positions 347 to 906 of the family's 1533-position model. The record is from RNAcentral.
GGCAGCAGUGGGGAAUUUUGGACAAUGGGCGCAAGCCUGAUCCAGCAAUGCCGCGUGCAGGAAGAAGGCCUUCGGGUUGUAAACUGCUUUUGUCAGGGAAGAAAUCUUCUGGGCUAAUACCCCGGGAGGAUGACGGUACCUGAAGAAUAAGCACCGGCUAACUACGUGCCAGCAGCCGCGGUAAUACGUAGGGUGCGAGCGUUAAUCGGAAUUACUGGGCGUAAAGCGUGCGCAGGCGGUUAUGUAAGACAGAUGUGAAAUCCCCGGGCUCAACCUGGGAACUGCAUUUGUGACUGCAUGACUGGAGUGCGGCAGAGGGGGAUGGAAUUCCGCGUGUAGCAGUGAAAUGCGUAGAUAUGCGGAGGAACACCGAUGGCGAAGGCAAUCCCCUGGGCCUGCACUGACGCUCAUGCACGAAAGCGUGGGGAGCAAACAGGAUUAGAUACCCUGGUAGUCCACGCCCUAAACGAUGUCAACUGGUUGUUGGACGGCUUGCUGUUCAGUAACGAAGCUAACGCGUGAAGUUGACCGCCUGGGGAGUACGGCCGCAAGGUUGAAACUCAAAG